GAUGAACGCUGGCGGCGUGCCUAAUACAUGCAAGUCGAGCGAACGGACGAGAAGCUUGCUUCUCUGAUGUUAGCGGCUGACGUGUGAGUAACACGUGGAUAACCUACCUAUAAGACUGGGAUAACUUCGGGAAACCGGAGCUAAUACCGGAUGAUAUUUUUAACCGCAUGGUUCAAAAGUGAAAGACGGUCUUGCUGUCACUUAUAGAUGGAUCCGCGCUUCAUUAGCUAGUUGGUAAGGUAACGGCUUACCAAGGCAACGAUGCAUAGCCGACCUGAGAGGGUGAUCGGCCACACUGGAACUGAGACACGGUCCAGACUCCUACGGGAGGCAGCAGUAGGGAAUAUUCCGCAAUGGGCGAAAGCCUGACGGAGCAACGCCGCGUGAGUGAUGAAGGUCUUCGGAUCGUAAAACUCUGUUAUUAGGGAAGAACAUAUGUGUAAGUAACUGUGCACAUCUUGACGGUACCUAAUCAGAAAGCCACGGCUAACUACGUG
This 497-nucleotide ribosomal RNA is filed under the name uncultured bacterium. Its description in RNAcentral is "partial 16S ribosomal RNA". It matches the Rfam family "Bacterial small subunit ribosomal RNA", at positions 28 to 507 of the family's 1533-position model. The record is from RNAcentral.